GGUAAAAAGAGCAAAAAACCUGUCUGGAGUGUUUAGACUUUGAAGUUUAAGUCGUUAAACAACAGCAGAGAAUCCACAAGGAAAAAAGCAAAACAAAACCCACUUUCCUCUUCCCUAAAACUCUCCAUUUCCUUCUCAAACUUCGCCAGGUCUGAAGACCAUGAAUGGAUCCGGAACCGGCAACCGAUGCGUGCAAUUCCUCCUCCUCCUCCUCCUUCUCACAAUCCCGUUGCUGUUUGAUUCAGUUCGGGCAAAGGACGACGACGGAAGCAACAAAGCCGGUGGCUCUUCGGUAGCGCUGAAGGUAGUUAUUGUGUUGCUGGGCGUGGCGGCGGUGGCUGGGUUCGGUGUGUUUCUGUUCAGGAUAUGGCAGAGGAAGAAGAGAGAGGAGCAGCACGCCAGGCUUCUCAAGUUGUUUGAAGACGACGAUGAGCUCGAGGUCGAACUUGGAAUUAGGGAUUGAUUGAUUGAUUGAUUCAAUUCAGGGCAUAUUUUAUUCCCUGUAGAGCUGAUCCCAUCCCAGCAGUUGCUUGGAGAUGAUCCAUCACCCAUGAAGUUGCUACCUCUUACAUACUCCCAAUCCCAUAGGCUUAACAUCAACAAGCAAUCUGCUUUUGAAACUGCUGGGAAGCCUCCAUGGGUAAUACCCUUUCCUUUGAACUUCAUAUAUAAAGAAAAAUGCUCACGUGGUGCUGUCAUAUAAGUAGUUGUUAGUUUCCAAAUUGCUUCCUGACCUUCUCUGUUGUAUUAGCGUCCAUUUUGACACAUUACAUAUGAUUCUCCUAAUGGGACUACCAUUUUAUGCAAUGCUUUUUCCCUCUCCUACAUUACGAUACUUAUUUGAAUUUGCGUUGCAGAGUAGAAGAUUGUA
Rosa chinensis is the source of this 871-nucleotide long non-coding RNA. RefSeq lists it as uncharacterized. The record is from RefSeq and is a predicted model, not a curated record. The transcript has 2 exons. NCBI's taxonomy places the organism in Eukaryota, Viridiplantae, Streptophyta, Magnoliopsida, Rosales, Rosaceae.